GCCUGUGACUGGUGGAUCUUUUCUUGUUACAUCAAUUCCUCCCCUUCUCCUGCCUCCCACCCUUCGUUCCUCAGUGCUGAACCUUUCCACCUCUGUUCCCAUCCAAGGCAACUAAAACUAUGACACUCAGCGGCCUUCCUCUUCUAUCUUCUCUGCUUAAGAAAUGACAAAUCCAGCCUUGGGAAGAGACGUGAUGAUACCUCACUGUGGAGAGAGUGAAAGCAGUCAGGGUGCUACCUGCCAGGAGUGCAUGGAGCAAGUGCAUCACCAAUUUCACUUAAAAAAAAAAAAAAGGCCGUUAUUCAUGUCAAAGCAAUGCAAUUAGCAUGGAAACCAUUGGCACAAGGAAUGAUAUCCAAACCAGUCUCUGAAACCCCAGACUUUCUAUUUCUGAUGUGGGAUUCCAGUCUUAAAAAGGUAAGCCACCAGAAGCAGGAAUGUAGGAAUACACUAGUUGGAGCAUUUCCAAAAGAAGCACCAAAUUCAUCUUUAACGCUGUGAUCAAAACUGAAAUUUUAAGAAAAGCGAGAGGUCAUCCAGACAUAGAAACUUUGUGACUCCUUUUUCAUAAAUCUGUUGUUUUUCUCUGCAAAGUUUUAGUGACAAGAACUGGUGUUGCCUCUCUGCAGCUUUCCUGGCUUCCUUAGGAGAAUUUUGUGAUAUUACAAAGCUUCCAUGACAACAAAUAAGAUAUUACAUAGUGUGAGGCUCCAACUAUCUAACCAGAACUUAAAGACAAAUAUUCACGUUACAUUUAAGAAAACAGUCACCAUGCAAAAGAUUGUUUUAAAUUCCCUAUUUAAAAAAAUAUUUUUCAUCAUAAUCUGAAGUUUGGACAAAGCCCUUUCCAUCAGAUUUCUGCUUGCAGAUUAUUUUAGAGUUUAAUGCUAUUAGUUUCCACUAAUUGAUGAAAAAAAUUAUGGAAAAUGGAAUGUGUCCUAAUCAAUAUGUCCAGAGUCCAAUUUUGAGAUGUGGUCAUUUAUUACCCAUUCAACAAUGCAAAAACCCAUGGUUCCACUAAAUAGGACCAAUAAUUGAGCUCCCCAUCCUGGAAUCUUGUGUAUCCAAGUGAAUGAUGUGUGAAUUUCACAACUCUAAAACAAUAAGGAUGGGGAUAUCUGGGAGGAAAAUUAAUUGCUUUAAAAAUGGAAAUUAGAUUUUUCUAAUUUGUAAAUAAACAUAUUACAAACGAAACGCAAGUAUUUAGGGCAUUACUGUCUCUUAAACUUAACAAAUCAAAACAGAACUAAAUACUGCUUUCUAAAAUUUUAAUGACAUAAAAGAGUCAAAAGUUGAAAUGGGUAUGUUUAAUCAAUCAUUAAUUAAUAUUAAUCAAUUAAUGCCCAAUCAUUAAUCAAUUGGUCAUAAUGACAUGAAAGCUAUGGCUUAGAAAUACGAUUGAAUAUAUAAUUUUAAACUACAUGAUAAUAAAUUAUUCCCAAAUGCCCAUCCUUUUUGGUUUUGUUAUCACACCGUGCUUACCACACAUCCACAUACUCUGCUGUUCUACAAUGAGAAAAGGAAAAUUUUAGUUUAGUUUGUUGGAGAAAAUUGGAAAAAUUACUCGAAAACAUGCAUAAAUACAUUAAAAUGUAUAUAAAGAAGAAACAUUUACUGAAAGGAGAAAAAUGUAUUAGUCUUAGGACCAGUUGGGGUUUUGUAACAGCCCAUAGGAAACCCAGUUGUGUAUGAAUUGAUUGGAUGAAUUUGGCAAACGGUUACAGUUACACAAAAUGGGCUUUUCCUUAUUAUUUACAUACUUUAGAAACUGGUGUUCCCAAUGUAUCUGUCCCCAGUUCCUUGCCGCUAAUGUACUUUUGGUCAAAAAAGCUUUCAAGGAAAAAUAUCCCUGCAAGUUCAGCUUUGUUCAGAAUGCUUCAGUCUUAAAGACCUCCUUUUAAAUUCAUCUUUAAGCACUGCAUUCUAACCAGAAAACUACAUUUUUAGCUACUAUUUAAAUAUGAUGUGUGCCAUAUCUGAAGUAUUUCAACAAAAUAUGAUCAAAUAUGUGGGCCCACUGUUUCUACUCUCUGUUCAAAGUAAAAUACACUCUACACAUCAUAAGACAGACUUUAUACCAGUCAGAUCAAAUUGUAAAUAUUUUUGGGUGAUGUAAGAAAAAUAAUGACUGACUAGUUACAGGUCAUCUAAACACUUUUGGUGAAACACUAUUGAUGUUUAAGAAAGAAAAUGAAUCCCACGUACUCUUCAGCGCAUCCUGGUCUUAUUCAAGGUAACAUGCUUCCUCAUCGUCCUCACCCUUUGCUUGUUGGCCUCUGCGUGUGGCUAUCAAGAAUCUGGGUCAAAGAUAUCAAGGGCUUAGCAGGACCCUUGAAUUUCAGCUCUGGAACAAACUCACCUGUGGGAGAUAUUCUGAUACAGAUUUAAAAGUAGUCCCAGUCUCUUGACUUCUAGGUCUAAUCCAAGUGUUUUUUUUUUUAUGGAGUUACUCUAAGUGAUCAAAUCUCAUCCUACUAGGGUGGUGACCACUCUAUUUUGAGAUUAUUUUUGUUUUGCUAAUCAAUACUAAUUGCAGAUCAGCAACAGAACUCAUAAAAUUGGAAACUCCUCUCCCUGUGAGCAAGUUGGGAAAUCUGAAGAGAGUACAAAAGUACAUUAUGCACUUGAAGUCACUGGGGACCCUUUAAUGAGACAUAGCUUUGUGGACGAACAAGGGGGAACAGACCUGGAAAAUAACUACCCUGUUCUAGUCCCGCAUCCACAGAGGAGCCACAGGGUCUCAGUUCAGCUCUUUCUCUCCUCUUUGCUGUUGUUGUCUGUGACCACUUGAGUUUAAAUGAAUCAUGAAGUCUGGGCAGGCUGACUCACGCCUGUACUCCCAACAAUUCGGGAGGCCGUGGCGGACGGAUCACUUGAGCUCAGGAGUUUGAGACCAGCCCGGGCAACACGGUGAAACCUUAUCUCUAAAAAAAAAUUACAAAAAUUAGCCAGGCAUGGUGGUGUGUAACUGUGGUCCCAGAUACUUGGGAGGCUGAGGUGGGAGGAUUGCUUGAGUCAGUGAGGUCAAGGCUGCAGUGAGCCCAGAUCAUGUCACUGCACUCCAGCCUGGGCAACAGAGUAAGACCCUGAUUUAAAAUAAAUAAAUAAAUAAAAUCAUAAUUAAUGUAAAAGUACUCCGAAAAUCAU
This 3147-nucleotide long non-coding RNA is filed under the name Homo sapiens (human). RNAcentral's name for it is "HSALNT0253182". The record is from RNAcentral. Lineage: Eukaryota; Metazoa; Chordata; Mammalia; Primates; Hominidae.